UCAGUGAAGAGAGAAAGAGAGCGAUUUAGCGAGGAGAGUUGAGGUGGUGAUGUUUGUCGAUGAUGGUGGUUUGAGGAGGCGAAAGAGGACCAAGGGAUUUAGGAAUUGCUUUCUUCGAAUUGGGGAUUUUGGUGUUGCAAGUCAGAGGAUAGGAGGAAUCGUCGCUUGGACUUGGAGAAGGGGCGACGACAAAGUGGCGAUUAUUGCCGGGCGACUGUCCUUUAAAAGAGGGAGAGACAUAGACAGAGGAAGAAUAAAGGCGAGGGAAAAUAGUGGCUGA
This 280-nucleotide long non-coding RNA is filed under the name Salvia miltiorrhiza (redroot sage). RNAcentral describes it as "long non-coding RNA (SMIL_LNC002545)". The record is from RNAcentral. Lineage: Eukaryota; Viridiplantae; Streptophyta; Magnoliopsida; Lamiales; Lamiaceae.